RNAcentral lists this ribosomal RNA (497 nucleotides) under uncultured bacterium. RNAcentral's name for it is "partial 16S ribosomal RNA". It matches the Rfam family "Bacterial small subunit ribosomal RNA", at positions 28 to 507 of the family's 1533-position model. The record is from RNAcentral.
GAUGAACGCUGGCGGCGUGCCUAAUACAUGCAAGUCGAGCGAACAGACGAGGAGCUUGCUCCUCUGACGUUAGCGGCGGACGGGUGAGUAAAACGUGGAUAACCUACCUAUAAGACUGGGAUAACUUCGGGAAACCGGAGCUAAUACCGGAUAAUAUAUUGAACCGCAUGGUUCAAUAGUGAAAGAAUGUUUUGCUUUCACUUAUAGAUGGAUCCGCGCCGCAUUAGCUAGUUGGUAAGGUAACGGCUUACCAAGGCGACGAUGCGUAGCCGACCUGAGAGGGUGAUCGGCCACACUGGAACUGAGACACGGUCCAGACUCCUACGGGAGGCAGCAGUAGGGAAUCUUCCGCAAUGGGCGAAAGCCUGACGGAGCAACGCCGCGUGAGUGAUGAAGGUCUUCGGAUCGUAAAACUCUGUUAUUAGGGAAGAACAAAUGUGUAAGUAACUAUGCACGUCUUGACGGUACCUAAUCAGAAAGCCACGGCUAACUACGUG